Long non-coding RNA from Manacus vitellinus (golden-collared manakin), 467 nucleotides. The record is from Ensembl. NCBI's taxonomy places the organism in Eukaryota, Metazoa, Chordata, Aves, Passeriformes, Pipridae.
GCUUCCCUCACGGCACUGGGGCUGCCCCUCAGGGCCCCGGGCACGGUGAUCGCCCUCAGGCGCCCCCUCUUGGCCCCGGCACGGCGAUCCCCCUCGGGCAUCCCUCGGGGCGAUCCCGCCCCGCCGCCCCCUCAGAGACACCCAUGUGUGCCCUCCUAGACAAUUCCCUGGAAAGGGGGACCCCCUGCCCCUCCACAGCCGCCCUUCUCCUCAGAGAUGGCCGUGUGUCCACCCUCAGAUAUUUCCCUGGAAACGGGCACCCCCUGCACCUCCGGAGCCCCCCUCGUCCCCUCAGGCCUCCCCCUCUUGCCCUCAGGACAAAGGGAUCCAGGUCAAUAAGAAGUCGGAUUUUGGAGAGAACACAGGACAGGCUACACAACCCCCUGAGAUUCCCUCCCGCCCCAAGGGGAUUUAGCAACCCCAAAAACCUCACACUGCUGCAGGUAGGCCAGAGGAAAACCUUAUGA